GCGCGCUCCCCUGCUACCGGGCCGCGCUGCCCACUCCCCAUCCCCGCCUCUCUCCUCGCAACAGAACCAAGCAUCUCCACACGUCGCCAUCGACACGUACGCGAGUGCCACGCCGGAGGUCGACGGAGCAAGCUAGGCAGAGGCCGUUCGAGCACGGCCGGCGCCCGCGUCCCACGGUGCAUCUCCGGCUGCGGCGAACCGGACCAUGGGCGCGGACCGUGUGGGUCAAGGUCUCGAGUCAGGUUGACUCGAUAGAUAAAGAUUCUUUCUCUUCUGACUCGAGACCAAGAUCAGGUUGAUUCGAGAGACAAAGAUUUUUUUCUCCUCUGACGAGACAAAGAUUCUUUCUCCUCGUCCAGAUAGUGAUGUCUGGACGAUGAAAGGGACAGUUUGGUGGAUCCAUGAAGUUUGCUAAAAAAAAGUAGAGUUAUGUCGAGAGUUAUCACGAGUUCUCGUAUACCGUUAGCCUGUUCGAGAUCUCGGCGAAAAAGUGUAUUAGGUGGGAUAAAGUGUGUUGGGUAGGAAAUGAUCAACUUUUCUGGAUACUUUGGUUACUCACUUAGAUCAAGUGAAGAAUAAGUUCGUUAUAUUAAUCACCGUGGUCUUUAUAUAAAGACGACAAACUAUGUAAUCCCACUCGCCAAGUAAAACAACUGAGCCAAAUGUUUAGAGAAGACACAUCCUUUAAAGCAUCAUAUAAGAUGAUGUUUCUUUAUUCUCUC
This 722-nucleotide long non-coding RNA is filed under the name Zea mays. Its description in RNAcentral is "long non-coding RNA NONZMAT002709". The record is from RNAcentral. Lineage: Eukaryota; Viridiplantae; Streptophyta; Magnoliopsida; Poales; Poaceae.